This 65-nucleotide transfer RNA is filed under the name Botanophila rubrifrons. RNAcentral describes it as "tRNA-Gly". RNAcentral also lists the same sequence under 1 other name. The record is from RNAcentral. Lineage: Eukaryota; Metazoa; Arthropoda; Insecta; Diptera; Anthomyiidae.
AUCUAUAUAAUAUAAAAAGUAUAUUUGACUUCCAAUCAUAAAGUCUAUUAAUAAUAGUAUAGAUA